GAUGAACGCUAGCUACAGGCUUAACACAUGCAAGUCGAGGGACCGGCGCACGGGUGAGUAACACGUAUCCAACCUGCCCUUUACUCGGGGAUAGCCUUUCGAAAGAAAUAUUAAUACCCUAUAUAAAGGAUGGGGAUGCGUUCCAUUAGGUUGUUGGUGAGGUAACGGCCCACCAAGCCUUCGAUGGAUAGGGGUUCUGAGAGGAAGGUCCACCACGUUGGAACUGAGACACGGUCCAAACUCCUACGGGAGGCAGCAGUGAGGAAUAUUGGUCAAUGGGCGUUAGCCUGACCCAGCCAAGUAGAGUGAAGGAUGAAUGCUUAUGGGUCGUAAACUUCUUUUAUAAAAGAAUAUGUAGUAUAUGAAUAAGGAUCGGCUAACUCCGUGCCAGCAGCCGCGGUAAUAC
This 406-nucleotide ribosomal RNA is filed under the name uncultured bacterium. RNAcentral describes it as "partial 16S ribosomal RNA". It matches the Rfam family "Bacterial small subunit ribosomal RNA", at positions 28 to 526 of the family's 1533-position model. The record is from RNAcentral.